This is a long non-coding RNA of Epinephelus lanceolatus (giant grouper), 388 nucleotides long. RefSeq lists it as uncharacterized. The record is from RefSeq and is a predicted model, not a curated record. NCBI's taxonomy places the organism in Eukaryota, Metazoa, Chordata, Actinopteri, Perciformes, Serranidae.
GAGGCCUGAAAGACACAGGUGUAUGGGAGUUUUUCAGUUCCAGGCCACAUGCUGUGCCAGUCCUAUUCCCAAGGACCUGUGAUGCAGAGAUCACACCACAGAUGAUUCUGGACAACAUCCACUGCCCAGAGGAGGAGGACAUCGAUGACGACAUCGCCACCAUGGAGGACCACUGCAGAGUACUGACUUUCCUACAGAAAUUCAUAGAGACUGGUACCUCUGAAGAGCUGAAAUGUCUGCUGACAUUCUGGACUGGCUGGGGUGUUCUUUCUCUGAACCUGGAGGUGGAAAUUAUUGAUAUUGCCCUACCACAGUCAUCAACUUACUUUCAAACUCUGAAGCUGUCAAAAAAUGCAUUAAACUAUGACGACUUUCAUCAAGACCUGAA